Molecule: ribosomal RNA, 495 nt
Filed under: uncultured bacterium
Lineage: Bacteria
Description: partial 16S ribosomal RNA
Rfam family: Bacterial small subunit ribosomal RNA
Source: RNAcentral
GACGAACGCUGGCGGCGUGCCUAAUACAUGCAAGUAGAACGCUGAAGAGAGGAGCUUACUCUUCUUGGAUGAGUUGCGAACGGGUGAGUAACGCGUAGGUAACCUGCCUUGUAGCGGGGGAUAACUAUUGGAAACGAUAGCUAAUACCGCAUAACAAUGGAUGACACAUGUCAUUUAUUUGAAAGGGGCAAUUGCUCCACUACAAGAUGGACCUGCGUUGUAUUAGCUAGUAGGUGAGGUAAUGGCUCACCUAGGCGACGAUACAUAGCCGACCUGAGAGGGUGAUCGGCCACACUGGGACUGAGACACGGCCCAGACUCCGACGGGAGGCAGCAGUAGGGAAUCUUCGGCAAUGGGGGCAACCCUGACCGAGCAACGCCGCGUGAGUGAAGAAGGUUUUCGGAUCGUAAAGCUCUGUUGUAAGUCAAGAACGGGUGUGAGAGUGGAAAGUUCACACUGUGACGGUAGCUUACCAGAAAGGGACGGCUAACUACG